RNAcentral lists this long non-coding RNA (320 nucleotides) under Triticum aestivum (bread wheat). RNAcentral describes it as "long non-coding RNA (TAES_LNC021036)". The record is from RNAcentral. Lineage: Eukaryota; Viridiplantae; Streptophyta; Magnoliopsida; Poales; Poaceae.
UCCUUGUCUAAGUUAUUAAGGGAAACCAUACGCCUGAUGGCCCUUUCUAUUGGUACUGUUUUGCUGGAAACUAAGUUAACUGCGAUGUUUGUAGAACUUAAUUAUAUUUGGAGAAUUAUUUAGUGUGGUAUGUGGAAUGGUGGUUAUUUGAGUUUUAGUUUUACCUAGCACAUAAUGCAUGUGCGUUGCCAUGAGCAAUUAACAAUGUUUGACGAGUACAGACUCUUUAAAUAACAAUCCAAUUUUUAUUUAUUUUACCAUAUAUGUAGAACAUGGCAACCUAGAAUCAGACAUAGUUAUCAAUCGCAUGUUAAUUUGUG